RNAcentral lists this ribosomal RNA (1348 nucleotides) under uncultured bacterium. Its description in RNAcentral is "partial 16S ribosomal RNA". It matches the Rfam family "Bacterial small subunit ribosomal RNA", at positions 1 to 1362 of the family's 1533-position model. The record is from RNAcentral.
GAAUUCGCCCUUAGAGUUUGAUCCUGGCUCAGGACGAACGCUGGCGGCGUGCUUAACACAUGCAAGUCGAACGGGGAUAUCCGCUUCGGCGGAUAUUCUAGUGGCGGACGGGUGAGUAACGCGUGAACAAGCUGUCCUAUACAGGGGGAUAACACUGAGAAAUCAGUGCUAAUACCGCAUAAGACCACAACCUCGCAUGGGGAAGGGGUCAAAGGAGGAAUCCGGUAGAGGAGGCGUUCGCGUCCCAUUAGAUAGUUGGCGGGGUAACGGCCCACCAAGUCAGCGAUGGGUAGCCGAGCUGAGAGGCUGAUCGGCCACACUGGGACUGAGACACGGCCCAGACUCCUACGGGAGGCAGCAGUGGGGAAUAUUGGGCAAUGGGGGAAACCCUUACCCAGCAACGCCGCGUGAGAGAAGAAGGUUUUCGGAUUGUAAAUCUCUGUCCUUGAGGGCGAAGGAAGUGACGGUACUCGAGGAGGAAGCCCCGGCUAACUACGUGCCAGCAGCCGCGGUAAUACGUAGGGGGCGAGCGUUGUCCGGAAUUAUUGGGCGUAAAGGGCGUGUAGACGGUUUUAUAAGUUACAGGUGAAAGCCCAUUUUUCAAGGAUGGAACUGCCUGUAAGACUGUAGGACUUGAGUGCAGGAGAGGGAAGCGGAAUUCCAAGUGUAGCGGUGAAAUGCGUAGAUAUCGGGAGGAACACCAGUGGCGAAGGCGGCCUACUGGGCACCAACUGACGCUGAGGCUCGAAAGUGUGGGUAGCAAACAGCGAUUAGAUACUUUGGUAGUGCACACUGUAAUAGAUGAUUAGUAGGUGUGGGAGGAUCGACCUCUUCAGUGCGGCAGUUUACACAAUAAGUAAUCCGGGUGGGGAGUCCGACGGCAAGGUUGAAACUCAGAGGAAUUGACGGGGGGUCCGCACAAGCAGUGGAGUAUGUGGUUUAAUUUUAUGUCACGCGUAGUACCUUGACUAGUCUGGUCAUCGUGUGACGCCCAUAGAAAUAUGUGUUUCCUUUGGGAGGCAGAGACAGGUGGUGCAUGGUGGUUGUCAGAUCGUGUAGGGAGAUGAGGGGUCAAGUCGCGCACCGAGUGUCACCGUUAUGGUCAGGUUUCAUGCAAGAGGACUGCGGCCCGGGUUUCGUGGACGAAAAGGAGGCAGGGGGGGAAGAGGUCUAAUCAUCAGGCCGUUCAUUCAUUGGGCUCCACAGGUUUUACAAUGGAGUUAUACGGAGAGAGGCAAGUGCGGGAGGGGGAGCGGAUAUCAGUAUCACCGUGGCAGUUGGGAUGGCCGGGUGCAAGUCGCGUGCUUGAAGUGGCAAUAGAGAGUAAUCGCAGAUCAGCUCGAGGCGG